ACACUGCUGAGAAGUCCCACAAUAGAACGAAAUGACCAUCCAGUGU
Schistosoma margrebowiei is the source of this 46-nucleotide non-coding RNA. The record is from Rfam. Lineage: Eukaryota; Metazoa; Platyhelminthes; Trematoda; Strigeidida; Schistosomatidae.